CCCUUAGAUGUUCUGGGCCGCACGCGCGCUACACUGACGAAGUCAGCGAGCAUGUCCUACGCCGACAGGUGCGGGGAAUCUUGUCAAACUUCGUCGUGAUGGGGAUUGAUUAUUGAAAUUCUUGAUCAUCAACGAGGAAUUCCUAGUAAGCGCAAGUCAGCAGCUUGCGUUGAUUACGUCCCUGCCCUUUGUACACACCGCCCGUCGCUACUACCGAUUGAAUGGUUUAGUGAGAUCUUCGGAUUGGCGCCACUGCGGCUCAGCAAUGGGCUCGGUGGAUGCCGAAAAGUAGAUCAAACUUGAUCAUUUAGAGGAAGUAAAAGUCGUAACA
This 331-nucleotide ribosomal RNA is filed under the name uncultured eukaryote. RNAcentral's name for it is "partial 18S ribosomal RNA". It matches the Rfam family "Eukaryotic small subunit ribosomal RNA", at positions 1470 to 1796 of the family's 1831-position model. The record is from RNAcentral.